UGUAACCCCGUACCAGUCCUAUGCCCCAGUCCCAGACCCAUUCAUAUCCCUAGCCAAGAGAGGGGUGUCUGUGGGACCUUACAAAAGGCUGGACGGAAGGGAAAGGGCUGGCAGGGCGAGGAGAGGAUCUAGAAAGAGAGGAGGAAAGGGAAGCUUCCUGGUGUAGUGCCUUUAUGAAGGAUUGGCAACCUCUCUCUUCCCGGCCCUGCCGAGAGAAACUACUAUCAUAUGUUACACAGCACUAAGACUCUCCUUCUCCCUCAGUCUCUCUCUCUCUCUGUCCUCCUCUCUUUCUGUGCCUACCUCCCUCUCUUUCUCUCCCUCUCUGGCUCCCCUGCUCUCCUUCUCCCUCCGUCCCUCUGACGCAGACAGACA
This 375-nucleotide long non-coding RNA is filed under the name Salmo salar (Atlantic salmon). RNAcentral describes it as "lncRNA (ENSSSAG00000106412.1)". The record is from RNAcentral. Lineage: Eukaryota; Metazoa; Chordata; Actinopteri; Salmoniformes; Salmonidae.